GGUACUGAAAAGUGUACUUCUUGUUUGAAAACUUGUCUGUAUGGCCUCCCCCCACCAGUCCCUUUCUCUCUCAUCCUCUGCCUCCACCCUCAAAUUGACUUUCAAUAGCUUUUCUAAGAGCUUUGAACUGAAUGUUCUCUUUAGCCAAAACUUGGCCACUUCCACUGAAGAAUCAGACCAGCAAGAGGGAGAGGGAGAUCUGACCUUUUGUAAGUCACCAUUCCGAUCCAGGUCUGCUUUCUCAUUUGUGGCCCAGGGAAAAGCUUGGGGCUGCAGUCAGAGGAAAAGGAAGUGGUGGCUUGACUGUUUUCCUACUUAGGACACUGAAGAUUUGAUCCCUCUUUGCCCUUAUCUUUAAAAGAUCUGAAUGUUUUCUGCCUGACUCCAUACAGCUACAAGCAUCAUCCACCCUCCCUUCAGUGUUUUGUGGGCCUGAACUUCACCAUGCUGCAUUACAUCCACAGUGGUGAAGCUUGUCCACUUCCUUGGGCAUGUUCACAGACUCUCUGCUAAGAACUCCCACCACUAAGAAGGCUAGCAAGCCAGCAGUCUCAAUGUCUAUCUCUAGAUGCCAGUAGGCUCAAAGACUUCUUAGCAAAUGUCUCUCAUCAAAUAUCAGAUCUCUGGAGCCCUUAGACAAACUGGAAAGAAGGCAUCAAUGGGAUUGGACAAGCUGAGCGUCUUGCUCUUGUCCCCCAGAGAUGACACCUUCCCACAAAAUGGAGAAAUGCCGACUUCCACCUUCAGAGCAGCUAAAGGGGCUACCCAGAUCAGGGUUGAAGAGAAAACACAAUUACUAAGGUGGGAAGAAUGAAGGCACUAGAACCAGAAACUCUGUAAAUGCUCUCCUUGCCACCCAGCAUAUCCACCUGCAGAAGUCAUGGGAAGAAGAGAGAAGAAACCAAGAGAAGACUGACUGCUGAAGUAAAAGUCUUCAGAAGCAAAGUCUAAAGCCAGAUGGGCACCAUCUGGUGAGUUUACUCAUCAUCCUCCUCUGCUGCUGAUUCUGGGCUCUGACAUUGGCCAUACUCACUCAGACUCCCCACCUUUGUUGCUGCCUUUCAGCCAGAGGAAGCUGAAAGAUUGAGACUACAGAACCAUGGCCUCCGUUGGAAAGUUUGGUGUGGCUCCAAUGGGCUGCCACCCAUGAACUCGGUGUGUUCCUGGGAUACUGGUUUCAUAUAGUCCUUUGGCACACCUCUGUUCUGUUGAGUUUGUCCCCCAGUCGCGAGUAUAGGGGAAUGUCCACCUACUUUCUCAUCUUGGCCACUGCCUCCUCACUUAGCUCUUAAAUUCAUCUGCUAAACAAGAAAUGGCCAGUCACCAAGCAGCCCAUUUCAGUUGGUUCACUCUACUUGUCGUUGAGAAGAUAGUUUCUGAGUGACAUGAUAUGAUCUACAUGGGUUUCCUCCCCUGAUUUCUGUUGAUAUUAAUAGCCAAAUGAACUUUCAAAACAGCUUCUUUAAAUAACAAGGGAGAGGGGAACCUAAGAUGGGUGUUAUACCAAUCCAAGACUGCUGGACAGAACUAAAGCUGACAGGUUCUGUUUCUGGGGUAGGAUAGAACAAUUCUGUUUUUCUUUGUUAUGACACCAUUUGGCUUAUGUAGGAUCACAGGAUCACUUUUAGCUGUUUUAAAGAGAAAAAAUUCACUACUUUUUCAUUUAAACUAGGUUACCUUUUAAUAGUUCCUUUACAUCUGUUUUGAAAUGAUUCUCAUCUUUUGUGGUGCAUGGAUUCAAUUAUAUCAUUCUAAUACCUCUCCUUGUAAAUAUUAGAUGCUCUCCUUUCCAUUUCUCUGGCUAUCAAGUUUUUCAUCUUUAUGGAUUUCCCAGUUGUGACUCUUGUCUUUAUGAAUAUAUGUUUUUCAUCUGUGAAAGCCAAAAUUCAGUGAAACGGCAGUGUAAUUAAAAACAGCAACAACUGGAUUACUCCGAAUUUCUGAAUGGCAAGACUAGGGAAAAAUGGCCUAAACAAGAAUUUAAGCCUACUGUUUUUGCACUGGGGUUUCAGUGAGCAAAGGAGAUUUUAGCUUGGCUUUGUCUCCCACAGAUGAAAGUGGGAUUAUUUUUUUCUUUUGGCCAUUGUUGUUCCAGCCAGUGUAAUUGACAGAAGUCUCAUUUUGCAUGCACUCUGCUCUGCAAACAGAGUUGAUGUAGUUGGUACACUGUGCUCACCCUUGAAGGAUCGGCAACUCACACUCACACAACUGGUGAGCUUAAAGAUGAGGAUCACUCACCAGACAAGUGACGGGGACUCUCUCCAAAAAGGUUUGCAGUGCUCAAUGGGGAUGGAGAGUGAGGAAGAGAAAAAGAAGAAGCACCAGAGCGAAGGCCCCAUCUGUGUUUGGCAACAGAUAGCAGCCAGGGUCACAAACUCUGUGGUCAAAGAAAAGAGUCGUGUGGCAGUUUCAGCUCUUGUUCAUUGGGCAGCUUGCCCAGGCCUGGCCUCUGAAUUGAAACGGGGGUUGGGUUCUUUGUUCCAUAGCUUUUCUAUGCCACAGACAGUAUCUUUGUUCUUGGAGAGUUCAUUAUUUUUUUAAUGAGAAAGGGUUUCUUUGAAGGAUUCUGUCAUAUAUCUUAAAGAAAAUCAGUAAUACAUAUAUUUUUAUAUAUGUUCACUGGCACUAAAAUAUGGGGGGGAAAAAGCUUCACUCUGUCCUCUGGGUAGUUGCUGAGGUGACUGUCUAGGUUGAGAAAUAAUGUGCUGAUGCUAGAGUCCCUCUCUGUUCAUACUCUACUUCUAAAUAUAUAUAUACAUAUAUAGCAAGAAGUAUUCUAUUUGUACUUUAAGAGAAAAUAGGCCCACCAUUCACAUGAUACUGACACUACACAAGUGACCUAACUUUAAGCAUCAAGUAGCUUCUGUUUGUUUCAUUAGGCAGAGCACAGACAUGGCCUUUCUUUCUCCCUUGAUAUUCAGCAUGGCUCAAAAGCCCAAGCCACUCCCUCUGUCCCUUCCCAGUCUUGUGCUAAGGUUGCAUUUCAUGAGACUCUCUUCAGACAGCCCAGUAAGUAUCCCUGCAUGGUCCCUACAUGGCCCUGGAAAAACAAGAGGUUGACUACUAAUUAUCUUAUGCCAGUUGCCCAGGUGAGAGGGCACUGGGCCAAGGGGGUGGCCGUCAUGCUCAACCACAUGUAGGGGCUCAUGGGAACCAGGAAUGCUAAAACACAAGAUCCAAUCCCAAACUUAAAGUCAAAAUAAGCCAUUUAGCAUGUGCAAUUUCUUAUAAAAGGAUAUUUCUACCCUUGCUGCCUUUUAUAGGCAGGUCUGUUCUCACCACUAAUCUCUUUGAAAAUCUGUGAAAGCAGUUUUAAAAAACAAAGUGAUGAGAGCAUCACAUUACGUAACCAAAGAUUACACUGUAUCUGCUAAAAUACCAAAAUUUUUAAGGCCAGGGAGGGAGCAAGCAUUAGUGCCUCUUUGGUAACCUAUCCAAAGGCAGACUAAAGGAUUUUGCUGGUGACUGACUUAUAAGAGUUUUGUGGGGUUUCCCCCACAAUAUACACGUUUAGAAGAGUGGAAGAUAAUUUUGAAAAGAAAUGGAUUAUGGGUCCUUCAGUAAGUGAUUUUUUAUAAGCAGAACUAGCUUUCCUUUUCUGUUGUAGUUGCUGAGCAAAUUCUUAAAGCUCCAUCAUUGCAUGGUUAGAAGUGGAGCUGUCUUGGCCAUUGUGUUUGCUAGUGCCAAUGUUAGCUUAUCUGAAGAUGUGAAGCCCUUGCUGAUAAGAGGAGCAUUUAAAGGACUAGAUUUUGCACUAGAAGGACAGCAGGCAGUAAUCCUCAUUUCUGCCCACUUUGAAUGGCACAAAAAAGUUCUCUGUGGUUUAAGGCAGAAGGUUGAAAUAUAUUGUAAAUGAGUAUUUGUAUCCAUGUUUCAAAAUUGAAUUAUAUGUGUUCUGAUAGCUUUACCUUUCUCUGCACCUUUAUAUUUGGUUCCAGGUCAUAAUUGAUACCAUGUAUUUGUGAGAGAGGCCAAAGCUACGUUUUGGGAGCUCUCUCAGAAUGGAAAAGACACCUGGGUUGAUCAGAUAACCAAGAGAUCUCUGCUCCUAUUGAGGCCUGACCCACAGACCUUGCAAAGGAGCAGAGGGGGGAAAAGCGUAAGGUACAUGAUGUGUUGCACUUUACUAGCCCAAGACAGAUGAAUGUGUAAAGGGUGGUGAAGUCUCAUUGGAACUGACUGGGAUUUACCAUAGGGAAGGCCCAGACUUGGGGCCAAAGGCCCACCCAAGCAAUUAUCCAGUGACCCUCUAAUGGGACCUGUGCAGUUGGAAGAAGGAAGGGUAUUUUUUGUUCUUCGCCAUCCCUGUGAGAAAAGGGCAGUUUCCUGCACUUGGGAACCUGGAGCAAGUGCUCCAUUUCAAACAAUUCACUCACCUGCAACUGAGGUGCUCUUGCUACUGGGUGUCUAUUCUGGUUUUGGAUACGUUCUGUAAAGAUUUUGACAAUGAAAAUGUGUUUUUCUUUGUUAAAAAAUUUAUCAGUGUACUAGAAGUAGUUUAUCUGUAGGUACAGGUCCAUCUCUGCUCACAGGUAAGGGUGUUUUUCUUCAAUUAAGAGACUGACACUGGGGUCUGUUGCCCAGAGCCUCCCAACCCUUAACCAUUUCUAGGUGAAGGCAGAAAAAUCCACAAUUAGUCACUCCUCCAAAGACACUUCAGCUGAGGUAACAAACCAUUCGGAAUGUUCCCACUCCAAAAAUAAGUGGUAAAUUUUGUAAUUUAGCAGGCAGAGUCUUAAAGGGAAAAGCAGCCUUUGACUCAUCUUUGAUUUCUCCCCAUUAGAUUUGGCCAGAAAAUAGAUAAUAUGCAUGGGUUGGUUUCCAACCCCAAUUCAGUAGAGUGGGAGUGCUGAUUCCUUUCCUUAUCCCACUUGUCUCAGCUUUUUAUAGAAUUAAAUGAGAAGCUAUCAUCUGAGUGGUCCUUGUGGCCUAAAACAGUUUGCACCUGCACUACUUAAAAAGGCUGUCACAUAGCUACAGGUUCCAUUGGCCACCAAAGACUGGAGCCCACACAUAUGUCCCAAAGGAAAGGAAAUUCUGGAAUGCUGCUGCUUCUCUGGUGGUACCCUCCUGGGCUGAUGCUUCACAUUUUGGAACUCUCUUCACUGAGCAUUUACAUAGACCAGGCCUGCAGUCUCUCCCAACCUUAGCCCUUGGUGCUAACUGUCCUGCAGUGAAGUGCAUGUGGGGUUGUCCUAUCCCAUAAGCCACUCAGGUGCUGAGAGUAGCCACCAUUGGGAUGACCCAAACUAAAAAGAGAGUCCCCUCCCACUACUCAGUAACACUUUUCUGCUUUCCCCUAGACUGGAACAUUGAUUAGGGAGUGCCUUGGACAUGACAUUCUUGUGCUGUCCUUGAGAUUCAUUUGGCAGCAGGAGGGAGCAGACUAUGUAACCAGAUGUAAGAAUUAUUUUUUUAUGUUGAGGG
This 5427-nucleotide long non-coding RNA is filed under the name Phocoena sinus (vaquita). Its description in RNAcentral is "lncRNA (ENSPSNG00000014039.1)". The record is from RNAcentral. Lineage: Eukaryota; Metazoa; Chordata; Mammalia; Artiodactyla; Phocoenidae.